GUUUGAUCCUGGCUCAGAUUGAACGCUGGCGGCAUGCCUUACACAUGCAAGUCGAACGGCAGCACGGGGGCAACCCUGGUGGCGAGUGGCGAACGGGUGAGUAAUACAUCGGAACGUGUCCUGUAGUGGGGGAUAGCCCGGCGAAAGCCGGAUUAAUACCGCAUACGCUCUACGGAGGAAAGGGGGGGAUCUUAGGACCUCCCGCUACAGGGGCGGCCGAUGGCAGAUUAGCUAGUUGGUGGGGUAAAGGCCUACCAAGGCGACGAUCUGUAGCUGGUCUGAGAGGACGACCAGCCACACUGGGACUGAGACACGGCCCAGACUCCUACGGGAGGCAGCAGUGGGCAAUUUUGGACAAUGGGGGAAACCCUGAUCCAGCAAUGCCGCGUGUGUGAAGAAGGCCUUCGGGUUGUAAAGCACUUUUGUCCGGAAAGAAAACCUCUGGGUUAAUACCCCGAGGGGGAUGACGGUACCGGAAGACAUAGCACGGGANAUCAU
This 498-nucleotide ribosomal RNA is filed under the name bacterium PN26. RNAcentral's name for it is "bacterial SSU rRNA". It matches the Rfam family "Bacterial small subunit ribosomal RNA", at positions 11 to 503 of the family's 1533-position model. The record is from RNAcentral.